RNAcentral lists this ribosomal RNA (405 nucleotides) under uncultured bacterium. RNAcentral describes it as "partial 16S ribosomal RNA". It matches the Rfam family "Bacterial small subunit ribosomal RNA", at positions 28 to 526 of the family's 1533-position model. The record is from RNAcentral.
GAUGAACGCUGGCGGCGUGCCUAAUACAUGCAAGUCGAGCGAAGCGGGGACGGGUGCGUAACACGUGGAUAACCUCCUAUAAGACUGGGAUAAAUUCGGGAAACCGGAGCUAAACCGGAUACUUACAGAUGGAUUCACCGUGCAUUAGCGAGUUGGUAAUGUAACGGCUUACCAAGCCAACGAUACAUAGCCGGCCGGAGAGGGUGAUCGGCCACACUGGAACGGAGACACGGGCCAGACUCCUACGGGAUGCAGCAGUGGGGAAUCUUCCACAAUGGGCGAAAGCCGGACGGAGCAACGCCGCGUGAGUGAUGAAGGUCUUCGGAUCGUAAAACUCUGUUAGUAGGGAAGCGGUACCUAAUCAGAAAGCCACGGCUAACUACGUGCCAGCAGCCGCGGUAAUAC